AUUGAACGCUGGCGGCAGGCCUAACACAUGCAAGUCGAGCGGAUGAAGGGAGCUUGCUCCUGGAUUCAGCGGCGGACGGGUGAGUAAUGCCUAGGAAUCUGCCUGGUAGUGGGGGAUAACGUCCGGAAACGGGCGCUAAUACCGCAUACGUCCUGAGGGAGAAAGUGGGGGAUCUUCGGACCUCACGCUAUCAGAUGAGCCUAGGUCGGAUUAGCUAGUUGGUGGGGUAAAGGCCUACCAAGGCGACGAUCCGUAACUGGUCUGAGAGGAUGAUCAGUCACACUGGAGCUGAGACACGGUCCAGACUCCUACGGGAGGCAGCAGUGGGGAAUAUUGGACAAUGGGCGAAAGCCUGAUCCAGCCAUGCCGCGUGUGUGAAGAAGGUCUUCGGAUUGUAAAGAACUUUAAGUUGGGAGGAAGGGCAGUAAGUUAAUACCUUGCUGUUUUGACGUUACCAACAGAAGAAGCACCGGCUAACUUCGUG
RNAcentral lists this ribosomal RNA (484 nucleotides) under uncultured bacterium. Its description in RNAcentral is "partial 16S ribosomal RNA". It matches the Rfam family "Bacterial small subunit ribosomal RNA", at positions 30 to 507 of the family's 1533-position model. The record is from RNAcentral.